Molecule: ribosomal RNA, 180 nt
Filed under: uncultured Glomeromycotina
Lineage: Eukaryota; Fungi; Glomeromycota
Description: partial small subunit ribosomal RNA
Source: RNAcentral
GGUCUGGCUGGCGGGUCCGCCUCACCGCGUGCACUUGUCCGGCCGGGCCUUUCCUUCUGGAGAACCUCAUGCCCUUCACUGGGCGUGUUGGGGAACCAGGACUUUUACUUUGAAAAAAUUAGAGUGUUCAAAGCAGUCGUUUUACGACCGAAUAGCUUAGCAUGGAAUAAUGGAAUAGGA